GAGUUUGAUCCUGGCUCAGAUUGAACGCUGGCGGCAGGCCUAACACAUGCAAGUCGAGCGGUAGAGAGAAGCUUGCUUCUCUUGAGAGCGGCGGACGGGUGAGUAAUGCCUAGGAAUCUGCCUGGUAGUGGGGGAUAACGCUCGGAAACGGACGCUAAUACCGCAUACGUCCUACGGGAGAAAGCAGGGGACCUUCGGGCCUUGCGCUAUCAGAUGAGCCUAGGUCGGAUUAGCUAGUUGGUGAGGUAAUGGCUCACCAAGGCGACGAUCCGUAACUGGUCUGAGAGGAUGAUCAGUCACACUGGAACUGAGACACGGUCCAGACUCCUACGGAGGCAGCAGUGGGGAAUAUUGGACAAUGGGCGAAAGCCUGAUCCAGCCAUGCCGCGUGUGUGAAGAAGGUCUUCGGAUUGUAAAGCACUUUAAGUUGGGAGGAAGGGCAGUAAAUUAAUACUUUGCUGUUUGACGUUACCGACAGAAUAAAGCACCGGCUAACUCUGUGCCAGCACG
Molecule: ribosomal RNA, 510 nt
Filed under: uncultured bacterium
Lineage: Bacteria
Description: bacterial SSU rRNA
Rfam family: Bacterial small subunit ribosomal RNA
Source: RNAcentral